Molecule: ribosomal RNA, 397 nt
Filed under: uncultured bacterium
Lineage: Bacteria
Description: bacterial SSU rRNA
Rfam family: Bacterial small subunit ribosomal RNA
Source: RNAcentral
GUGUCAGCAGCCGCGGUAAUACGUAGGGGGCAAGCGUUGUCCGGAUUCAUUGGGCGUAAAGAGCUCGUAGGCGGUUCAGUAAGUCGGGUGUGAAAGCUCCGAGCUCAACUCGGAGAGGCCACCCGAUACUGCUGUGACUUGAGUCCAGUAGAGGAGCGUGGAACUCCUGGUGUAGCGGUGAAAUGCGCAGAUAUCAGGAAGAACACCUGCAGCGAAGGCGGCGCUCUGGGCUGGAACUGACGCUGAGGAGCGAAAGCGUGGGUAGCAAACAGGAUUAGAUACCCUGGUAGUCCACGCCGUAAACGUUGGGCACUAGGUGUGGGGAGCCGUCAACGCUCUCCGUGCCGUAGCUAACGCAUUAAGUGCCCCGCCUGGGGAGUACGGCCGCAAGGCUAAA